This 210-nucleotide unclassified non-coding RNA is filed under the name uncultured fungus. RNAcentral's name for it is "sequence contains ITS1, 5.8S rRNA gene". The record is from RNAcentral. Lineage: Eukaryota; Fungi.
AUAAAGUUUAGGGGGAUGUGAGAUCAAAAUCCAUCCUCUAACAAACACUUUUUGUGAACUGAACCCCGUCUCUGGCGAGAGGGUGGUGGCGUUAAAGCCCCGCUUGUCAGCACAGUGCCUUGGCACUGGCGCCGUGGACAACUCGCCAAACCCCUUUUUAAACAUCUGUUUUCAUAUUAAGACUGACAUUACUUUGUAUAAUACAAAAAA